RNAcentral lists this ribosomal RNA (464 nucleotides) under uncultured bacterium. RNAcentral describes it as "partial 16S ribosomal RNA". It matches the Rfam family "Bacterial small subunit ribosomal RNA", at positions 28 to 506 of the family's 1533-position model. The record is from RNAcentral.
GACGAACGCUGGCGGCGUGCUUAACACAUGCAAGUCGAACGGAAAGGCCCCUUUGGGGGUACUCGAGUGGCGCACGGGUGCGUAACACGUGAGUAACCUGCCCUUGACUUCGGGAUAACUUCAGGAAACUGGGGCUAAUACCGGAUAGGAAUCCUUGCUGCAUGGUGGGGGUUGGAAAGCUUCGGCGGUUUUGGAUGGACUCGCGGCUUAUCAGCUUGUUGGUGGGGUAGUGGCUUACCAAGGCUUUGACGGGUAGCCGGCCUGAGAGGGCGACCGGCCACAUUGGGACUGAGAUACGGCCCAGACUCCUACGGGAGGCAGCAGUGGGGAAUAUUGCACAAUGGGCGGAAGCCUGAUGCAGCAACGCCGCGUGCGGGAUGACGGCCUUCGGGUUGUAAACCGCUUUCAGCAGGGGCGAAGCUUGUGGUGACGGUACCUGCAGAAGAAGCACCGGCGAACUACGU